RNAcentral lists this ribosomal RNA (832 nucleotides) under uncultured Variovorax sp. Its description in RNAcentral is "bacterial SSU rRNA". It matches the Rfam family "Bacterial small subunit ribosomal RNA", at positions 46 to 874 of the family's 1533-position model. The record is from RNAcentral. Lineage: Bacteria; Pseudomonadati; Pseudomonadota; Betaproteobacteria; Burkholderiales; Comamonadaceae.
GCCUAACACAUGCAAGUCGAACGGCAGCGCGGGAGCAAUCCUGGCGGCGAGUGGCGAACGGGUGAGUAAUACAUCGGAACGUGCCCAAUCGUGGGGGAUAACGCAGCGAAAGCUGUGCUAAUACCGCAUACGAUCUACGGAUGAAAGCAGGGGACCGCAAGGCCUUGCGCGAAUGGAGCGGCCGAUGGCAGAUUAGGUAGUUGGUGGGGUAAAGGCUCACCAAGCCUGCGAUCUGUAGCUGGUCUGAGAGGACGACCAGCCACACUGGGACUGAGACACGGCCCAGACUCCUACGGGAGGCAGCAGUGGGGAAUUUUGGACAAUGGGCGCAAGCCUGAUCCAGCCAUGCCGCGUGCAGGAUGAAGGCCUUCGGGUUGUAAACUGCUUUUGUACGGAACGAAAAGUCUCUUUCUAAUAAAGAGGGAUCAUGACGGUACCGUAAGAAUAAGCACCGGCUAACUACGUGCCAGCAGCCGCGGUAAUACGUAGGGUGCAAGCGUUAAUCGGAAUUACUGGGCGUAAAGCGUGCGCAGGCGGUGAUGUAAGACAGAUGUGAAAUCCCCGGGCUCAACCUGGGAACUGCAUUUGUGACUGCAUCGCUGGAGUGCGGCAGAGGGGGAUGGAAUUCCGCGUGUAGCAGUGAAAUGCGUAGAUAUGCGGAGGAACACCGAUGGCGAAGGCAAUCCCCUGGGCCUGCACUGACGCUCAUGCACGAAAGCGUGGGGAGCAAACAGGAUUAGAUACCCUGGUAGUCCACGCCCUAAACGAUGUCAACUGGUUGUUGGGUCUUCACUGACUCAGUAACGAAGCUAACGCGUGAAGUUGACCGCCU